Medicago truncatula (barrel medic) is the source of this 206-nucleotide microRNA precursor. It matches the Rfam family "MIR2670 microRNA precursor family". The record is from Rfam. NCBI's taxonomy places the organism in Eukaryota, Viridiplantae, Streptophyta, Magnoliopsida, Fabales, Fabaceae.
GUUGGGGGAAAUAGUGGUUAGUCGGAUUGGGAAAAAAGACAUCAUACCUUGAGGUAAAAUUAGGUUUGCUUCCUUUUACUCCCAAAAUCUUUUUACCGUGGGUAAAAAGAAUCAUCAUGGGGGUAUAAAAGGAACCAAAUUUAAAUUUACCUCAAGGGAUUUUGAUGUCUUUUUCCCCAAGAGGACUGAUCACUAUUUUCCCCAAG